GCAGCGGUAGUUCAGUUGGUUAGAAUACCGGCCUGUCACGCCGGGGGUCGCGGGUUCAAGUCCUGUCCGCUGCGCCA
This 77-nucleotide transfer RNA is filed under the name Acinetobacter sp. SWAC5. Its description in RNAcentral is "tRNA-Asp". It matches the Rfam family "tRNA". From Rfam's summary of the family: Transfer RNA (tRNA) molecules are approximately 80 nucleotides in length. Their secondary structure includes four short double-helical elements and three loops (D, anti-codon, and T loops). Lineage: Bacteria; Pseudomonadati; Pseudomonadota; Gammaproteobacteria; Moraxellales; Moraxellaceae. The record is from RNAcentral.